UGGAGGGACAUCAGACAGAGCUACAACCAGUGAGGGACAAAAGUGAGGCAGCUGCUGAAGAGGCUGAAUUGGUUUGAUCCAGAGAGGCAGUUAUGCAUAAGAGCAACCACUCUCUAUUGAAUUAGGAGAUCUCUCAUGCAACACAUCUCACCAAUUACAAGUCCCCAUUAGCCACCACAAUGGCUGGAGAAGAGUGGAUCAUCAUAAAUGGUGACAACUGUGGUGCUAUCCCACUGUCAAUGCAGGAGAGAGCAAUAUACACAAGACAGUUCAGUUCACAAGUCCAUCAAAAGCAGACCGCAGUUGCAUGAAGGUGCUGGCAAGUCUCUGCAGGGAAGUGUCAGCUUUACUUGCUACACCAAGGACAGUUGGGCAAGAUCAACAUCAGACAUGGACAUUCUGUGCCACUGAGAGAUCUCAUUAUUAUGCCUUUCCUGGGAAUCCCUUGCCCUCAUCCCACCUCAGCCACUAAUAAAACCUUAACUUUAUCUUUUAGUGAAAUCGAG
Mus spicilegus (steppe mouse) is the source of this 506-nucleotide long non-coding RNA. NCBI's taxonomy places the organism in Eukaryota, Metazoa, Chordata, Mammalia, Rodentia, Muridae. The record is from Ensembl.